AAGGCUAAACAGCAAUUAUAUUGGAAAAGAGGAAAACAACUUUACAGGCUUCCUUAAAGGGAAUAAAAUCCAAAAGUUGAACUCCUCAAAGUACGAAAAACUCACCUCGGUAGGUGUAUAUAUUAUACUAAGAGUUUUUAAGUAAUACUCGUUGGUCGUCUCUUGUUCUUGUUGUUAUCACUACUCUUUCCUUCCUCGGCUCAUACGGUGUGUGACUAUGCUACCAAAGGGGACACAAGAGAUAUAUACCAUUAGGUGAAGAAGUGACUGAGUUUAACAAAUGACCACUCGAUUGUUCUACCAAAACAGAAGGGAGAAAGAAACAUUCACUUACUGAAGUCCAAGAACCCGUAAUAAGUUGACGGUAUGAACACCCUUUAUUUACAUGAUUUGAACACUCUACCUAACUAAUUACCCGUCACCUUACCCUAAUCCCGAGCGUUAAAUGUUUGUUACUCAACGUUGAUAUUUCUUACCUAACUAAUUAUCCGUCGCCUUACCCUAAUCCCGAGACGUAUCAAUACUCAACGUUGAUGUUUCUUACCUAACUAAUUACCCAUCAUAUUACCCUAAUCCCUAGACGUGUCAAUACUCAACGUUGAUGUUUCUUACCUAACUAAUUACCCAUCACUUUACCCUAAUCCCUAGCGUUAAAUGUUUGUUGAGUUUUUGCGAUUUUCAUUGUUUUUAUACUCAGCGUGAACCCAUGCACCAACUUUUCUUUUACUUAGUAACUUUACGAAGACGGAGGGUUUCUCCGCAU
Molecule: ribosomal RNA, 763 nt
Filed under: Triticum aestivum (bread wheat)
Lineage: Eukaryota; Viridiplantae; Streptophyta; Magnoliopsida; Poales; Poaceae
Description: partial small subunit ribosomal RNA
Source: RNAcentral